AUACGGAGGGUGCAAGCGUUGUCCGGAUUUAUGGGGUUUAAAGGGUGCGUAGGCGGCUUGACAAGUCAGUGGUGAAAUCCUCCCGCUCAACGGGAGAACUGCCAUUGAAACUGUAAGGCUUGAGGACAGUCGAGGUAGGCGGAAUUUAUGGUGUAGCGGUGAAAUGCAUAGAUACCAUAAAGAACACCGAUAGCGAAGGCAGCUUACUAGACUGUAUCUGACGCUGAGGCACGAAAGCGUGGGGAGCGAACAGGAUUAGAAACCCCAGUAGUCC
Molecule: ribosomal RNA, 274 nt
Filed under: uncultured bacterium
Lineage: Bacteria
Description: partial 16S ribosomal RNA
Rfam family: Bacterial small subunit ribosomal RNA
Source: RNAcentral